GCAUAUCAAUAAGCGGAGGAAAAGAAACCAACCGGGAUUGCCUCAGUAACGGCGAGUGAAGCGGCAAGAGCUCAAAUUUGAAAGCUGGCUCCUUCGGGGUCCGCAUUGUAAUUUGCAGAGGAUGCUUCGGGUGCAGCCCCCGUCUAAGUGCCCUGGAACGGGCCGUCAUAAAGGGUGAGAAUCCCGUAUGGGGCGGGGUGUCUGCGUCCGUGUGAAGCUCCUUCCACAAGUCAAGUUGUUUGGGAAUGCAGCUCUAAAUGGGUGGUAAAUUUCAUCUAAAGCUAAAUACUGGCCGGAGACCAAUAGCGCACAAGUAGAGUGAUCGAAAGAUGAAAAGCACUUUGAAAAGAGAGUUAAACAGCACGUGAAAUUGUUGAAAGGGAAGCGCUUGCAACCAGACUCGCUCGCGGGGUUCAGCCGGGCUUCGGCCCGGUGUACUUCCCCGCGGGCGGGCCAGCGUCGGUUUGGGCGGCCGGUCAAAGGCCUCCGGAAUGUAGCGCCCUUCGGGGCGCAUUAUAGCCGGGGGUGCAAUGCGGCCAGCCUGGACCGAGGAACGCGCUUCGCACGUCGCUGG
This 574-nucleotide ribosomal RNA is filed under the name Aspergillus sp. E52. RNAcentral's name for it is "eukaryotic LSU rRNA". It matches the Rfam family "Eukaryotic large subunit ribosomal RNA", at positions 38 to 629 of the family's 3401-position model. The record is from RNAcentral. Lineage: Eukaryota; Fungi; Ascomycota; Eurotiomycetes; Eurotiales; Aspergillaceae.